RNAcentral lists this transfer RNA (71 nucleotides) under Procypris mera (Chinese-ink carp). RNAcentral's name for it is "tRNA-Ala". It matches the Rfam family "tRNA". From Rfam's summary of the family: Transfer RNA (tRNA) molecules are approximately 80 nucleotides in length. Their secondary structure includes four short double-helical elements and three loops (D, anti-codon, and T loops). Further hydrogen bonds mediate the characteristic L-shaped molecular structure. tRNAs have two regions of fundamental functional importance: the anti-codon, which is responsible for specific mRNA codon recognition, and the 3' end, to which the tRNAs corresponding amino acid is attached (by aminoacyl-tRNA synthetases). tRNAs cope with the degeneracy of the genetic code in two manners: having more than one tRNA (with a specific anti-codon) for a particular amino acid; and 'wobble' base-pairing, i.e. permitting non-standard base-pairing at the 3rd anti-codon position. Lineage: Eukaryota; Metazoa; Chordata; Actinopteri; Cypriniformes; Cyprinidae. The record is from RNAcentral. RNAcentral also lists the same sequence under 1 other name.
AAGGCCUUAGCUUAAUAAAAGUGUCUGAUUUGCAAUCAGGAGAUGCAAGUUAAUAUCUUGUAGGCCUUAAU